UGGUGAUAUUAGUUUGUUAAGGUCAACUA
Molecule: non-coding RNA, 29 nt
Filed under: Mus musculus (house mouse)
Lineage: Eukaryota; Metazoa; Chordata; Mammalia; Rodentia; Muridae
Source: RNAcentral